UAGAAGCUUAUACAGUGAACCUACACACUUGACCUUAGACGCCACAUCUUCACUAAAAGAAGAUCCAGCUUUGUGGACUUGUUCUGCAUGAGCGCGUUGGGUAUUUUCAUCAAAAUCUUGAGGGUCCGCCUUUCCGUCAGAGAGAUACCUUGGUGAUUCAGGCGUGAAGGCAUAAAAUAUAAGCAACAGAAAUGAUGGCAAAGAGGACAGCGCUAGCAACCACCUCCAGCCUAAUGUGGGCAUGAUUGCCUGCAUAAACAGUUUGGAGCAGUUAAUCGUUAGCAUUAUCAGAAUUCAUAAGUUAAUUCAACUUAAAGAGUAGGAGGGUUUAUGAUAUCUUGAGCAUUUUUGCAGAAUGUGAUUGAGUUGGACCUAUAAUUUCAUAUUUUAGAUUGUUUAGUUUCUAAUUUAUGCUUCUAAGUUGUUAAGUAUGUAAUUUUAGUUUAUGUGUAAAUUGUAAUGUAUUAUGUAAAAAUGUAACAUUGUAAUUUGUAAAUAAUUUAUACAAUACUUAUAAGUUUUUAGUA
This is a long non-coding RNA of Dendrobium catenatum, 527 nucleotides long. RefSeq lists it as uncharacterized. The transcript is spliced from 3 exons. NCBI's taxonomy places the organism in Eukaryota, Viridiplantae, Streptophyta, Magnoliopsida, Asparagales, Orchidaceae. The record is from RefSeq and is a predicted model, not a curated record.